RNAcentral lists this long non-coding RNA (1460 nucleotides) under Homo sapiens (human). RNAcentral describes it as "non-protein coding lnc-LRP5L-1:6". Lineage: Eukaryota; Metazoa; Chordata; Mammalia; Primates; Hominidae. The record is from RNAcentral.
AGCUGGUACCUGGGAUCGGGCAGGACGGUCCUCUUGCUGGCGCGGGCGGCCGGAGUCGCCUUGCUCUUCUCCAUGGCCAUCAGGUAAUGAUGAAGCCCCUGCUCUGGUCCAAGCUACCUGUGAACAGCGCCCAGCGGGCCGGGCCCCCAACCUCGCUCCUGAACGUACCCGCAAGCCCGCCGUGAGAAUUCAGCGAAGAGUAAAGGCUGGAGAAAGUUGCGUGUCUCAGGCUAAGCAGAGCAAAGUGGGGUGAGGGCUUCGCCGCUAGGAACAGAGAUGCCCUUAGGGAGCCCCCUGAUGGAAGAGCUCUCUGCUUAAGAAGGUCAGCACGCCCUUACACUCAGUUUUACCACGUUUUUCAAGAUCCAAGGCACAAUAGGCAUAAAGUUAUCCUGAAAAGGACAAGAGGAGUGUCAGAAGUAGGAAUGGCAGUCGAAGGAGCUUCGUCUGGCAGCAGAAAGCCAAAAUGACAGGAGAUGUUGCUGAGAUGGGUGCAUUAAAGUUUAGGCUUUCCAGAGUUUAUAUUGCUAACGACUUGAAAGGAAAAAAGCUAACUAGAGAACUGACUGGUCUUAUUUGUUUUAGAUUUCGGGCUUUACUAAGACUUCCUACACUCAAUCUCUGGACUGUAAAUGCUGGGUGGGGUGGGAGCUGGGAAUGUUAUUCUGGGAAAUUAAUCACAAAUGAAAAGAAAAUCAACUCUAAGACUUCAAUUACAAGAUUUUUGAAAAUGGCAGAACAUGGCUGGCCUUCAUUCAAGUCCGAAUAUUUAAAGCAAUCCUUGCUAAGAAGAACUUGAUUUUAUAUAAGGAGUCCCUUAAAUACAGUUGCUUCUCAAGAAAACCACACACAAUUGAUGUUUGAAUGGCUUUAUUUACAAACAUCUCACUCUGUAAGCCUCUGCAGGUAUUUCUAGCCUCCCUGGGAGGCCACUGUCCCGUUUCACCUGUAAUUUGGAUCACAAUUCUGUUUGUUGUCACACACAUCAUACGAGCUGCUUUUCAUGCUACUUUUAUCCACAAAGCUUUACAAACUUUAAUGGCAGCUCUAUAUAUGACAACUUUAAAAAGAUCUGCCAAAAGGUAUGAUGCCAAGCUUUGGUUUUAUUAAACUAUUAGCUAUUAGCACUGAAACGAUGUUCAGUAGAGAAGUACUCUCCUUUCGAUAUGUGAGUGGAAACACAUUUCUCUAUGGGGACUGCUGGUCAGGGAGUCACUCUAAAGAAAAGUGACAGUGUUGUUGUUGUUGUGGUUCAGAGCAUGGGCUCAAAAGUCAAAUGGCCUGAAUAAGAAGCCCGAGACCAGUCCUUCUGAGCUGUGUGACCUUAGACAAGUUGUCUAAUCUCUCUGUGUCUCAGCUCUGCCUCAGUGUUGUUAACGGGAUUGCCGUGAGAGCAAUGCUGUAACAUGUAAAAAGUGCUUAGAACUGUGUCUGGCCCUCUCCCCUCUCCCCUCUUCCCC